AUGGGUACACGAGGCAAUCACUUGGUAACAUCAGAGGCUGUUGGUUUUAAAACAAAAUUAGACCACAAUCAUGCGACGGUGGCUGGCAUUAGUGGCUCUCCUGGCCGUGGUAGUUGGACCAUCAACAUGUUUUCAGCCACGGAGGAUCAUAGAAAAAAUGCUAGAGCAGUGUUUAUGUCGUGUGCAAACAGACGUGGUUUGUGAAAGUCAGGAUUGGGAGCACACACAAUCUACGAGCCAUCUUUAUACCAGAUUAUAAUUCCACGGACGUUGACUCCCAUGUGAGGUGGAACUCCUGGUUUGAGCCACUGCCAGGCCAAGAUCGAGAUGCAUGUGAUGGAGAGAUUAACUGUCCUGUCGUAGCAGGGGAAGUCACCCGUUUCACUUACGUUCUUGAUAUCCAGGAAUUCUGGCCAGGAAUGAGUAUCCAGUGAUUUGGACACUCACAGACAGAGCAACAGAUGAAAUCCUGGUGUGUUUCAAGUUCAAAAUCAAUAUUGUAUAGCCAGGUUCAGAACCUCUUAAAAAGUUCUAAGGAAUCCGGUAUCCACAGGGUAGUACUGUGAAGGCCCAGGGUAAUAACUUUUUUUAAUUAUCAACAAGACUAUGUUAAGUAUAUCAUAGGAUGCUCAGUAUCAAGAUAUCACCCUUCCCAUUUAGAUGUAGACACCCACUGGAGUUCUUAUUUUUGAAAACUCAGCUGUUAGUUGCAUAACACAAGAUGCCUAUGUUAACAAUGGGAAGGAAUGACGAAGUCGCUAGAUUCCACAAGCCACUCAAGGUUACCACAGCUUAAAUUUAUACAUGUUAGAAGGCCUCCAAGGGUCUGCCAUAACGUAACAAACAUAGACAAUAUCCAUUACCUGAAGAAAUGUGUUUUUAGUGAUGGUGUAAUCCCAAAGCUAAGUAAGAAUGUAGUCUCACUAUCAAAUAGAGCCAUGUUAAUUAACUAAAGAUUAAGGGAAGGCCUACUACCUAAGCUUCUGUCUCAUUGUUACACAAGCUAUGUAAACACUCUAAGGAGCAUAACACUAUUUCCUUAUUAUAUCAAGAGCUGCAUUCAGAUUUGUUCUAAAAUCACCAUUAAGUAAAUGCUCGAGCACUCUCUUCUCUACGUUAUGUGUGUUAAGAUGAGAGCUGUCACUCCCACUGAAAGGGACCAGAUCCUGCCACUGCAAAGUACCUUCGUGCAGAAGUGUACCUCAUCUGACGACCCUCCAAACCCCGCCCAACCCGUCUCAAAAAAGGGGAAAACAUGUAAAAGAGAAAAAAAAUAUAUAUCUAUCUUUCAUGAUCACUUUUUCACUUUUUAGAUUUUUCACUCUUGGUUGUAUAAAGAAAAAUAUAAUUUUUGUCAGGAUAUCUUUUAAUAAACUAAAAGAAAUUUC
Penaeus vannamei (Pacific white shrimp) is the source of this 1388-nucleotide non-coding RNA. The record is from RefSeq and is a predicted model, not a curated record. Lineage: Eukaryota; Metazoa; Arthropoda; Malacostraca; Decapoda; Penaeidae.